UGGGGGUCUCAGGACCCACAAUCCAACAACGGAAGUCAGAUAAUUUCUUUAGGGCCAGUUUUUACACAGAAAGGCAGGGGGCAAGUUAGAGGAGUAUUUUUCGGCUUUGUGCCUGGCUUUGGGGAAACAGGGCUCUGGCUUCUUCCACCUGCACUGGGGAAGAGAGAUUCUGAUGUCUAUGGCCAGCCUCAGGGGAGACUGAGCGGCCAGGGACAGGAGGGCAGGAGCAGGUGAGAAACAUUUUUGCUUCUGAGGCCUUCAUUGUGGGAUAUCAUUUUCUUAGCCCUCACAACGUGAACAGACUUUGUCCACAGAAGGAAUUCUGACUGAGCUGGACCCCACAUCCUGCCUCUCACCUGCUAGAGUCAGGCUCAGCAGCGUUCCUCGUCGGACCAGAGAGUCGGUGAAAACCUUUGGCAGAAGGUGGCGAUCUGCAAUGACCUGCGGGAAAGUCUUGGAGGAGAGCGGGAGCCAGGAAUUGGAAGGAUUACGUCACGGCUGGAACAUGUUGGUUCCACAAUGACAAAGGAAAUGGCAGGAUCCAGUGUAAUUUUUAGUGUAAUGGGGCCAAUAUUGUUCUUUGGGAGGAAAUAGAUUUUUUGAAUUUCUCAUUAUAAGUCAACAGGAAAAUAAGACAUUACGUACAAAAAAUGCACUCGCUUGCAACUUUCCGAGGAUAUAUUUGCUAUGUAAUGUGAGGUUCCUUAUUUUUAAGCUGAUAAUUUAAGUAACGUUAUUGUAAUUUACUUCUUAACUUUUAAAUGUUGUCUUUAUUUAGAAAUAACUGUACUUUUAGAAAAGGCAACAUAAAUCAAUACCAUGAAAUGAAUCACUUUGGCCUGUACCAGAGACAACUUUGCAUCUACAACGACGUCACAGAGUCUGGGGUUCUGAGCGCUGAUCCUAAGAGCUGGACUUCAGGGGCGGCGAUGGCGCUCUGCUGAACUGAACGAACCACGGCUCCUCACCCAUACGCGAGAAGCGGCAUCCCGGCCUUCGCGGCGCUCAGCCUGCGUGGGGCGGCAGCUGGCAUGAUCAGGACUAUUCAGGGGGAGCAAGAAACCGAGUGCCAGGCACAUCAGGCCAAGUCCUCAGCCCCACCUUACUUGUUCCCUGCAAACCAGAUCACAGUGACCCUACAGCACGUAUCAGUUUCCAAAGGCUGCCUUCACAAAUGACGGAAAACAUGGCUGGAAGCGGCGGAAAUGUAUUCUCACAGUCCUAGAGACUAGAAAUCCAAAACCCAGGUGUCGGCAGGGCCCCGCCCCUCCGAAGGCUCUGUGGGAAGAUCCUUCCUGGCUUCUCCGGCGCUUCGGCUCCGUGAAUUCUGGCCGUCCUUGGCCUGCAGCUGCAUCUUCCGAUCUCUGCCUCUGGCUUUGUGUGGCUGUCUUCCCCGUGACUGUGUCCAGAUUCUUAUAUAAGGACACCAGUCAUUGGCUUAAGGCGUACCCUAGUGGUCACCUUCACAGGUCUCAGGGGUUAGGACUUCAACUUCUAUUGCAGGACGACACAGUCCUACCCACUGCAGAGUAUUGCAUGCUGGACAUUUGGCCAAGCUGUUUCUUUGAAUUGUUUCACUUCAUCCUUGUAAAAAUCCUAGGAUGUAGAAACUCCAUUUUACAGAUAAGGAAACCGAGACUCGGAAAGUCAAAGCCAACCGCCCAGGGCCACACGGCUCUGAUACGGCAGAGGAGAACUCAAAUCCACUUCUCUCUUACCCUGGAAUCUUAACCCCUGGACUAGAUGCUACAUUCAAAAAUUGCAAGUCAUUACAGCCUAGUUAGAAUCUGUUUUCUGGGUCAAAUAACUGGUCAGAUCUGGAAUCAGAACUUUGAAGGGGUGUCAGCAAAAGCUCCAAGCUGGUGAGGGGGGAUCUUUGCCUGAGAAGGGAAUAAAGAACCAACUUAAACUUCAUCAACAGUUCCUGAUUAAUUGUUACAAAGUGUCAUCCAUAAAUUUCCCUUCGAUCUAAUAAUCCUCUCAGACGAUUUAACAAUAUCCCCAGCGAGUUGGCUUUAUUGAGGGCUGAGUUCCUGAGAAGGAAGGCAGCGACACAAAUAGCUCAAGUGCAUGGAGACAGUCGCUGGCCAGUCUUCCCAGCGCUGACAGCUCUGAAAUACAAUUAUCAGUGUGAUCUGCUUAAGAAUUCAUCAUCAGCUCCUGCCUUCUGAAGACUUAAAAAAAUACCGAGACAUACAAAGAGAAAGAGGUGAUAAGAAGGCAUCAUUUUCCUCCAGCCUCAUAACUGUAAAUUGAAGAAAAUUAUUUUCUUUGCCUCCAGCUCAUUGGCAUAUAGGCAGCAUUAUAUUAUAAUUUCAUAAGCAUAAAUCCUUUGAAUAAAUUUCAGAAGAAUAACUGAAUUAGAAAUGCAAGUAAAGUAUCUAAAAAACUUCACUGUCCUAGGCAGAGGAGGAGAUGUGAGAAGCAGAGGGAAAGAGAGAAUUCCUCUCUGGCGACCUUCCCUGGGUUACCAGGGACCUGGGACAAGGUCUGGCUCAGGGAAAGACAGUUCUUAACCCUACUCUGAGCCCAGUGGCAAAUAAAAUAGCCCCCUCUCCUCUUCCCACUGGUAUGUUCCGAGGAAUUCGAGUCGUAAUUCAUCAUAAAUUAAUUUUGGAGAAACAACAGGCUUGGGGCACGUUAUAAUUAUUGUUAUUUGUUUAUUUAUUAUCACGUUAACCGUUAUUUAUUAUUAUGUUACGCAUAUGUGAGACCACAAAGGCUGCUCCCCGCAGUUUCCUGGCAACACGGCCGUGAGUUCUUCACACGCAAGUUACCAAGUGCGCGGCUCCGAGAAGGGCGGGUGGGAGGAGCUGGACGCGGUUUGGGGUCCCCGGCUUCUGCGCUUUCCUGAGGGGACCCAGUGGGACGGCCGGUCCGGAUGAAGAGUCUGUCUGGCACUGCGGCGACGGUUCAUGAUCUGCACAGCAGAUCGUCUGCAAACAAAGACCAUUUAGAGGCAAAGCUCUGGCCCCGAGAAAGACGCCAGGGGCUGGCUCAAGUUCAAGGAGGAAGAGGGCCCUUCUUGGUGUUCUGGGCAGCCGGCCACAGACACCUUCCAUCCCACCAGGCCACUCAGGGAGGAGGAGAUCGUGUUCCUCUGUGCAUCCGCCCCAGUUCACAGAGCAGUACUGACUCACAGGAGUGCUUCACUGAAGCCCACGCUUUAUUCGGGGUUCUCUAGUCUUUACCUAAAAUCCGUCUCUACCCCGGACCCCAGCCGGGACACCCCAUGGCCCUCAAUCCUCAGUUCUCCUUAGACUCCUCUUGGUGGUGAUGGAUUCUCAGACUUUCCUGUGUUGAAUGACCUUGACCUUGGCUGUUCUGAGGAGGACCGGCAGGAACACUGAAGAAUUGGAGUUUGAUGUUUUUCUCAUAGUGGGUUGAGUGGAGACUGCACCUGUGAUGGAGGUCGAGCGCUUUCAUCCCAUCCCAUCAAGGGUGCAUCGGGUCAACGUAACCGAGCAUGGUUAAACGUGAUGACCUGGCUGAAGCAGUGUCUGCCAGGUUUCUCCACUGUAAAACUGCCUUACCCCUUUCCAUACCUUUUGGAAGAAGUCAUUAUGAGCAGCCCACGUGGCCAAAGUGGGGAGCUGUGCUUCCCCUCUUCAAGGGCAGGGGAUCUACAUAAGUUAUUUGGAAGUCUGCACAGAAAACUUGUCACUCUCCCUCCAAUUAUUUAUUUCCUCAGUCAUUUCUAUCAGAAUAGGCUGGCUCUAUACUUUGAGUUAUUUUCCAAUGCUAUCUUACUUUGUUGCUCAAAUUGCUCUAGCUUUAGCCACUGGGGGUUCUUUCCAUUGCCUCCUAUGUCCCUUUAAAAUGUCCCCAUUAUGGCGGCAUCCUGGGUGUUUUGGUUUGGCUUGGUUUGGACACUUCCUUGCUUUCUGCUCCAGGCUCAUCUUGUUUACUCCCCUCCCAGUCCCAGAAUUAAGCAUUUCUUCACAGAACCCGGGAUCCUUGUAUGGAAGACUGGGAUUAGCAACCACUAUCUGGUGCUGGGUUUCAAGACUCUCCUACAUUGACGCUUGCUUCCAGUAUAAAAUAAAGGUAUUAUAACAUAUAACACAGUCUGAAUUUAAAAUAAAUCUAGUAUUAAAAAUAAUGCUACAAUGAAUGAACCAUCAGGCACCAUUUCUUAGGCACUAGAGAGAUGGUUACUGAGGGGAAACUGCUAGAGAUCCAUCAGAUCUGCCCUGCCUUCUUCCCAAUCACAAAUCUGGACUGCGGUGCCUGCUUUCCACAGCUGGGAGUGGUCGGUGACUACGCACUCCUCAGUGGAACGGGAGAGGAAGCCCGAUGCACC
Molecule: long non-coding RNA, 4303 nt
Filed under: Homo sapiens (human)
Lineage: Eukaryota; Metazoa; Chordata; Mammalia; Primates; Hominidae
Description: non-protein coding lnc-ZADH2-1:1
Source: RNAcentral